This 857-nucleotide ribosomal RNA is filed under the name Helotiales sp. RNAcentral's name for it is "partial large subunit ribosomal RNA". It matches the Rfam family "Eukaryotic large subunit ribosomal RNA", at positions 76 to 954 of the family's 3401-position model. Lineage: Eukaryota; Fungi; Ascomycota; Leotiomycetes; Helotiales. The record is from RNAcentral.
UACCUCAGUAACGGCGAGUGAAGCGGUAACAGCUCAAAUUUGAAAUCUGGCCUCACGGUCCGAGUUGUAAUUUGUAGAGGAUGCUUCGAGCAUGGUCUGGCCUAAGUUCCUUGGAACAGGACGUCAUAGAGGGUGAGAAUCCCGUAUGCGGCCAGGUGCCUACGCUCAUGUGAAGCUCCUUCGACGAGUCGAGUUGUUUGGGAAUGCAGCUCAAAAUGGGUGGUAAAUUUCAUCUAAAGCUAAAUAUUGGCCAGAGACCGAUAGCGCACAAGUAGAGUGAUCGAAAGAUGAAAAGCACUUUGGAAAGAGAGUUAAACAGUACGUGAAAUUGUUGAAAGGGAAGCGCUUGCAACCAGACUUGCGCGCGGCCGAUCAUCCGGUGUUCUCACCGGUGCACUCGGCCGUGCUCAGGCCAGCAUCGGUUUUGGCGGCUGGAUAAAGGCCCUAGGAAUGUAGCUCCUCUCGGGGAGUGUUAUAGCCUAGGGUGCAAUGCAGCCUGCUGGGACCGAGGACCGCGCUUCGGCUAGGAUGCUGGCGUAAUGGUUGUAAGCGGCCCGUCUUGAAACACGGACCAAGGAGUCUAACAUCUAUGCGAGUGUUUGGGUGUCAAACCCAUACGCGUAAUGAAAGUGAACGGAGGUGAGAACCCUUAAGGGUGCAUCAUCGACCGGUCCUGAAGUUUACGGAAGGAUCUGAGUAAGAGCAUAGCUGUUGGGACCCGAAAGAUGGUGAACUAUGCCUGAAUAGGGUGAAGCCAGAGGAAACUCUGGUGGAGGCUCGCAGCGGUUCUGACGUGCAAAUCGAUCGUCAAAUUUGGGUAUAGGGGCGAAAGACUAAUCGAACCAUUGACCUGUAGG